AUCUAUAGAGCAAGGACCAGGACAGCCAAU
Molecule: non-coding RNA, 30 nt
Filed under: Cricetulus griseus (Chinese hamster)
Lineage: Eukaryota; Metazoa; Chordata; Mammalia; Rodentia; Cricetidae
Source: RNAcentral